ACCAACAGGGAUUGCCCUAGUAACGGCGAGUGAAGCGGCAACAGCUCAAAUUUGAAAUCUGGCUCUUUCAGAGUCCGAGUUGUAAUUUGCAGAGGGCGCUUUGGCUUUGGCAGCGGUCCAAGUUCCUUGGAACAGGACGUCACAGAGGGUGAGAAUCCCGUACGUGGUCGCUAGCUAUUGCCGUGUAAAGCCCCUUCGACGAGUCGAGUUGUUUGGGAAUGCAGCUCUAAAUGGGAGGUAAAUUUCUUCUAAAGCUAAAUAUUGGCCAGAGACCGAUAGCGCACAAGUAGAGUGAUCGAAAGAUGAAAAGCACUUUGGAAAGAGAGUCAAACAGCACGUGAAAUUGUUGAAAGGGAAGCGCUUGCAGCCAGACUUGCUUGCAGUUGCUCAUCUGGGCUUUUGCCCGGUGCACUCUUCUGUAGGCAGGCCAGCAUCAGUUUGGGCGGUGGGAUAAAGGUCUCUGUCAUGUACCUCUCUUCGGGGAGGCCUUAUAGGGGAGGCGACAUACCACCAGCCUGGACUGAGGUCCGCGCAUCUGCUAGGAUGCUGGCGUAAUGGCUGUAAGCGGCCCGUCUUGAAACACGGACCAAGGAGUCUAACAUCUAUGCGAGUGUUUGGGUGUCAAGCCCGAGCGCGUAAUGAAAGUGAACGGAGGUGGGAACCCGCAAGGGCGCACCAUCGACCGAUCCUGAAGUUUACGGAAGGAUUUGAGUAAGAGCAUGGCUGUUGGGACCCGAAAGAUGGUGAACUAUGCUUGAAUAGGGUGAAGCCAGAGGAAACUCUGGUGGAGGCUCGCAGCGGUUCUGACGUGCAAAUCGAUCGUCAAAUUUGGGCAUAGGGGCGAAAGACUAAUCGAACUAUCUAGUAGCUGGUUCCUGC
This 879-nucleotide ribosomal RNA is filed under the name Johnalcornia aberrans. Its description in RNAcentral is "eukaryotic LSU rRNA". It matches the Rfam family "Eukaryotic large subunit ribosomal RNA", at positions 64 to 961 of the family's 3401-position model. The record is from RNAcentral. Lineage: Eukaryota; Fungi; Ascomycota; Dothideomycetes; Pleosporales; Pleosporaceae.